UGUUUCAACGGUUUUUCUACAGAUUCAAUACUGCGAACCAAUCGAAUAUCUUCCAGUAAUUCAACAACAAUUCUAUUGGUUGAAUGCUCAACGAGAAUUUCGCGAAAUCGACGAUGGUUUUUUGUUUUGUUACCGGUUCCGUUCGAACUUCGAACGUUUUCUUGAAGGAUAGGUUAUGUUCGUUUAUUUUACUUUUUUGAUUCGCUCGAUUCGUCGUUUAAAAAAUCAAUCUACGACCCCGCGAAUACAUUAAUGUGGCAAUUGUACAGUGAAUAAAUCUAGUCGAGGGAAAGGUGGCAGGCGCAAUUGUAAAAAGAAAUGGCAAUAUCGAUGUAACCAGACACGUGAUGCGGGAAGUUUAAAUAUAUUACAUUAUUGCGUGCGUCCUUCGUGAGAUAAGAUCUGUAUAAGGUCGUAAGCCUCGCGGCAUCAGGGUGGCAGAACAAAACAAGAGACAAGAAUUAUUUCCAAAUAUGGCAAAUCAUUCGAUAUCUUCGUCUUCGGCUUCUUUUUACGAACCACCUUUUGAAUACAUCGAUGGGAGAAACGUUCAGUAUUAUCAAAACAUUCGAACGAAUCUUCAAGAAAUCCAACGACUGACAAACCAGACAAAUGCUAAUUUGACAGCGACUCGAAAAAAAAUGCAUCAAACUGUCAAACUCAUUGGUCUCAUUUCACAAAAACCAACAUCUGAGGAAAAUUGAUGUACAUGUAAAAAUAUCGACAUACAUAAAUAAAUUUUUUUAAAAGCGUUGAUAAAAAAAA
This is a long non-coding RNA of Venturia canescens, 765 nucleotides long. RefSeq lists it as uncharacterized. The record is from RefSeq and is a predicted model, not a curated record. The transcript has 2 exons. Lineage: Eukaryota; Metazoa; Arthropoda; Insecta; Hymenoptera; Ichneumonidae.